This 207-nucleotide ribosomal RNA is filed under the name uncultured bacterium. RNAcentral's name for it is "partial 16S ribosomal RNA". It matches the Rfam family "Bacterial small subunit ribosomal RNA", at positions 568 to 774 of the family's 1533-position model. The record is from RNAcentral.
UGCGUAGGCGGUCGGGUAAGUCUGAUGUGAAAUCUUCAAGCUUAACUUGGAAACUGCAUCGGAUACUAUUCGGCUAGAGGAAUGGAGGGGAGACUGGAAUACUUGGUGUAGCAGUGAAAUGCGUAGAUAUCAAGUGGAACACCAGUGGCGAAGGCGAGUCUCUGGACAUUUCCUGACGCUGAGGCACGAAAGCCAGGGGAGCAAACG